This 374-nucleotide unclassified non-coding RNA is filed under the name Zea mays. RNAcentral's name for it is "misc RNA Zm00001eb053430". Lineage: Eukaryota; Viridiplantae; Streptophyta; Magnoliopsida; Poales; Poaceae. The record is from RNAcentral.
UCAAGUUAGCAACCAUUUAAUCCUCCAAAAGGAAGUACAUAAUCAGGGAUAUAUAUGCCAUAUCCAGGAAUACUGGGUGCAACCGAGAAAAGCGACCAUUUUGAUAGGGACCACACAGUAUCCGAAAAGAUGCAGAAUAAAUUGGUAUCCAGGAAGAUUCACGGGUGUCUCGCAUUAGAAAAAAUUCAGAAGGAACGUAAGAUCACGUUCAACUCGACGACAUCCACCCAUCUACUCAUGCCACAUGCAAACUUCAAUCUCGCGCGGGUUUCCCACCUUUUUUUGCAAAUUAAUGUAACAAGGAAAGGGAAAUGCAAGGUGGACGGGGCAAAAGGAAGACUCUUGCACACCUCGAAUUCUCCAAACGCGCGGAG